CCUCUGAAGCUCAACCCUCGAUAUCCCAGUCUUUAGACAAAGACCGACAACUCACUAUAGAAUUCAACUUCGAAGACCUUCCUGCUAAUUUCGCCCCGGCUUUCAUGACAGUAGAAGCGCUGGUCAACAAAACGAAACUAAUGAACCCAAACGAUCCCAAUUCCGCAAUGACUGUGAUUGCCUUCGGAAACGAGACGAUUAGUUACUAUGGCAACGGCACACAAAGGGUUCUAAAAAACACAGUGUCAAGCACCUUCAAGACAUUGUCGUACAUUAACGGAUGUUGUCCGAUGCUACGCUUCUACUCCGCCAAUGAAACCUUAAAGAAUGUUUACGGUGUGGAGAGGAGACUGGUGCAUUUUUCCAGCGCCGACCCGCCCCGGUAUCAGUUUAUACAACACGGACU
Molecule: long non-coding RNA, 406 nt
Organism: Physella acuta
Lineage: Eukaryota; Metazoa; Mollusca; Gastropoda; Physidae
Source: RefSeq, a predicted model, not a curated record